Epinephelus moara (kelp grouper) is the source of this 2900-nucleotide long non-coding RNA. RefSeq lists it as uncharacterized. The transcript has 3 exons. Lineage: Eukaryota; Metazoa; Chordata; Actinopteri; Perciformes; Serranidae. The record is from RefSeq and is a predicted model, not a curated record.
AAUAAUACUGCAGUUUACAGUUGAGUUUUCACAAGGAGGUCCAGAAGUCUUUUUUUUUUUUACCUUAUUGUUUAGUCUUGUUGUACAGGUUACAUUUUUAUGGAGUAAAACUAGUCAUUUAUGCAAAACAUGUCGGUGUAUGUUUCUUGUCCUCCUUGUCUUUAAGUCAGAUAUCAUUCAAUUUAAAAACUCCCCUGAUAGAGUUAGUGUCAAAGAAAAACUAAAGGUUGUUGGUUUUCUUAUCAAAGAAAAUGAGUUUAUUUUUGAAUUAUCUGAAGUAAUUUCCUCCGUUACAAUUAGGGGUAAGAUUAGAGAAUUUUAAUAUUAUAGCCAAAGGAGAUUAUUCAUCUUUCCCAACCUUUUUAAAGAUUUGGAAAAAAGAUCUGGGGAUGGUUUUAGACGAAAAUACCUGGUUAAACAUUUGUGAAAGAAAACAUUUUACAUUCACACGUAACAACAUCAAGGACAUUAAUUUCAAGUUUAUCCAUAUAUUUUUUCUCACUCCCAUAUAAAUAAAUACAAUUUCCAAAGACAAUAAAGAUGACUGUCCGAGAUGCGAAACUGAAGAAGGAACAUUCAUGCAUAUGUUUUGGCAAAUACUGUUAAAACAUUUCUGGAAUUCGGUUCAUUCAUUCACAACAUUGGUCCUUGUAUUUAUUAAAGGAUAUGCCAGAUUUCCAAUUAGAAGAAUAUUAAUUACCAUAACAUACUUUGCAAAGAAAUGUAUACUUCUAUUUUUGGAAAAAUGAGUCCCCUCCUACUUCACAGCUAUUCCUGGAUCAAUUAUCACAAUUCCUACCACUAGAGAGACUGACCUUAGAAAAAAACAACUGCAGACAUUUCAAGAACUCUGGUCCCCACUAUUUUCUUUCUCUUCAAGAGGAGUUUAAUAAUGAACUUGGACAUUUUGUAGCCUGGAGCCUUUAUUUAUACAUCAUAAAGUAUGGACUAUAAAGGGUUGUUACCUUUUAAUGUUGUCACUGCUUUCUUUGUUUUGUUCGCUUUGGUUUGUUUAGUGCAGUUUUAAGUCCUUUAUUUGCUCUUUUGCUUGCUUGUCUGUCUAGUCUGUUUAUUCUGGUAUAUGGGGAUGGAGGGUACUCAAACUUAGUGUACUCUGUUGUACUUGUAUGUUUUCAUAUUGGUGCUGGUUUAUGGUACACUUGUUGGAAAUAAAAAAGAUGCUGAAAAAAAGAACUAAAGAAGCUCUUAUUAUGUUAUGGAGUUGAGCUGGAAAAAAAACCAAAACAGUUUCCAGCUUCAGGAAUCCACAAAUGUAGUGGCAUCAUGUUCACAUCACAAACAGUUUGGAUUUUUUUGUGAGGUUGUAUAUCUUAGUUUUUCAGAGUAAAGGAGUAGAUGGCAGUUGCUUCCAGUUUAGAGGAGCAGGAAGGAGUGCUACGUCGGAAGCUAAGGAAUGUACUGCUGUGGACAGGGACAGCAACAAAUCGAUUUUAGCCAUCUAAAACAGGGCCACCUGAAGCCAUUAUUACGCUCUCCUCAAAGCCACCAGACUCCACUGACAAAAAUGGUAAUUUUACCUUGCAGAAGACGGGAGCUGCUGGUCUACUACUGCCUCCAUAAGUUAGUUUAUUUGUGUAAUUGUGUGACUUUGGUGUUAAGUUCAGAUUUACCAAAGUCACACAGUAACAGAAAAAUCAAACUAAUUGAGGCAGUGGUAGCCCAGCAACCCCAGUGAGCACCAAAUGGGAUUCCGACAUUAAUUUCUGGUUGAAAACUGGUUGAUACUCGGCCUUUUCGCCCUCCUUUCAAACAGCUCAAAUGCGAUUACAACAUCAACUUGUCAAAAUACGAAUGUGUUAAAUUAUUUUUUGAUAAUUUCUUAAGUUGUAGGUCAAAAGAGAGACAUUGAAUGGGUGGAUGGAGGUGGGAGGAGUGGGUAUGGAAGGGUAGCCCUGCAACUUUGGGGAUGAUGGUAGGUUUGUUGUUCUUGUAAUUUUUCUUUUUUGAUCUCAGGGUUUCAUGCACAAUUGUAAAGUUCAGAAAAAUUAGCUUAAAUUGUAGAUGUUGAUUUUAUGUGGAAUCCAUCUGCUCAGUAAAAGAUAUUCAAAAAAGAGAGAGACAUUACUGAUUAGUGUGUGAGGUAUUUCUCCAAAGUCAUAUUGCACUGGGGGUGAAAUGUGGUCAACACCAAGACGUAAUUUGAAUGCAUUCAAUGUGAAUAUAAAUGUCAUAAAUAUGGAACUAUAUAGUCUGUGUGCUGCCACCAAGAAGCUUUCAGGACACUUCUAGUGUCAGAUCUGUACACUCUGCAUCAUUCAUGUAAAAUAACACAAUUUGGGCUUACUGCUGUAAUGCGCAUGCGCAACCUUUAAAGCGUCGUUUAGUUCAAAAGUACAGACGUCCUGCGGCCCUCCGGGACUCUAGGACUGAGGAGAAGGAGCCAACGGAAUAAACGCGAGUCUUCACGCUACCUACACACUUUCAAUACAAAGAAAACAUAAUGGAGCUGCAAAAGGCGGCAGCAGCAGCUAUGGAGCAGGUUGUCUCAACACUGUGAUGUGUCCACCAGCAGCUACAGUAAGAACAUGAAUAUAUGCGUUUACAGUGAACUUUCUUUUUGUCGGUGAAUUCCACUGUUGUUUUGUAUUUUACAUUACUCACAUUGACACUUUGUAUUUGUCUUUUUAUGGUUUUGUCUUAAUAUUUAAGAGAAGCCUGAAUGUAGAAAUACAAAACUGCACCAAUAUUUGGCAUUUAUCAUUCAAAAAGCACUUAAUGUUAAAUUGUUAACAGCUUAACACGGAAUCAUAUCUGUAUUUUUUUUAAGAGUUUUAUUUUUUAUAUUUAUUUUAUUACCUUGAAUUGUGAAAAUCCCCGUCUUUUUCAAUCAGGUUAUUUGCUAAAUACUUUUUUGAUACUCAAAAACACUCGCUGACAGA